ACUGCUGAUGACUUCAAUUAAUAAAUUACAAACUAGAGUUUAUGACAUUUUAAAAUGAUCUGAACAUUAAUCGCUGAAG
Molecule: small nucleolar RNA, 79 nt
Filed under: Pachysolen tannophilus NRRL Y-2460
Lineage: Eukaryota; Fungi; Ascomycota; Pichiomycetes; Alaninales; Pachysolenaceae
Description: Small nucleolar RNA snR78
Rfam family: Small nucleolar RNA snR78
Source: Rfam by way of RNAcentral